Molecule: ribosomal RNA, 252 nt
Filed under: uncultured bacterium
Lineage: Bacteria
Description: partial 16S ribosomal RNA
Rfam family: Bacterial small subunit ribosomal RNA
Source: RNAcentral
UACGUAGGGGGCAAGCGUUAUCCGGAAUUAUUGGGCGUAAAGAGUACGUAGGUGGCAACCUAAGCGCAGGGUCUAAGGCAAUGGCUCAACCAUUGUUCGCCCUGCGAACUGGGAUGCUUGAGCGCAGGAGAGGAAAGCGGAAUUCCUAGUGUAGCGGUGAAAUGCGUAGAUAUUAGGAGGAACACCAGUGGCGAAGGCGGCUUUCUGGACUGUAACUGACACUGAGGUACGAAAGCGUGGGGAGCAAACAGG